Molecule: transfer RNA, 71 nt
Filed under: Marmota monax (woodchuck)
Lineage: Eukaryota; Metazoa; Chordata; Mammalia; Rodentia; Sciuridae
Description: tRNA.Ala
Source: RNAcentral
GGGGUGGUGGCUCAGUGGUAGAGCGCUCACCUAGCAUGUGUGAGGCACUGUGUUCGAUCCUGAGCACCGCA